GCAGAUAUGGCUCAGCAGUUGAGAGCCUGCUCUAGCAGAGGACCUGGGUUCAAAUCCCAGCACUCGCC
Molecule: transfer RNA, 68 nt
Filed under: Cricetulus griseus (Chinese hamster)
Lineage: Eukaryota; Metazoa; Chordata; Mammalia; Rodentia; Cricetidae
Rfam family: tRNA
About the family: Transfer RNA (tRNA) molecules are approximately 80 nucleotides in length. Their secondary structure includes four short double-helical elements and three loops (D, anti-codon, and T loops). Further hydrogen bonds mediate the characteristic L-shaped molecular structure. tRNAs have two regions of fundamental functional importance: the anti-codon, which is responsible for specific mRNA codon recognition, and the 3' end, to which the tRNAs corresponding amino acid is attached (by aminoacyl-tRNA synthetases). tRNAs cope with the degeneracy of the genetic code in two manners: having more than one tRNA (with a specific anti-codon) for a particular amino acid; and 'wobble' base-pairing, i.e. permitting non-standard base-pairing at the 3rd anti-codon position.
Source: Rfam by way of RNAcentral